AGCAGCCGCGGUAAUUCCAGCUCCAAUAGCGUAUAUUAAAGUUGUUGCAGUUAAAAAGCUCGUAGUUGAAUUUCAGGAUCAAUACGUCGGUCGUGCUUCGGUACGUACUGGCAUCAUUGAUUUCUCCCUUCUGACGAACCAUGAUGUCAUUAACUUGGUGUCAUGGGAAAUCAGGACUGUUACUUUGAAAAAAUUAGAGUGUUUAAAGCAGGCUCACGCUUGAAUACAUUAGCAUGGAAUAAUAAAAUAGGACGUUUGAUUCUAUUUUGUUGGUUUCUAGGAUCGACGUAAUAAUUAAUAGGGAUAGUUGGGGGCAUUAGUAUUCAAUUGUCAGAGGUGAAAUUCUUGGAUUUAUUGAAGACUAACUACUGCGAAAGCAUUUGCCAAGGAUGUUUUCAUUAAUCAAGAACGAAAGUUAGGGGAUCGAAGACGGUCAGAUACCGUCGUAGUCUUAACCAUAAACUAUGCCGACUAGGGAUCGGAUGAUGUAAUUUUUAAUGA
Molecule: ribosomal RNA, 501 nt
Filed under: uncultured Glomus
Lineage: Eukaryota; Fungi; Glomeromycota; Glomeromycetes; Glomerales; Glomeraceae
Description: SSU rRNA
Rfam family: Eukaryotic small subunit ribosomal RNA
Source: RNAcentral